Molecule: ribosomal RNA, 252 nt
Filed under: uncultured bacterium
Lineage: Bacteria
Description: partial 16S ribosomal RNA
Rfam family: Bacterial small subunit ribosomal RNA
Source: RNAcentral
UACGGAGGGUGCAAGCGUUAUCCGGAUUCACUGGGUUUAAAGGGUGCGUAGGUGGGCUGGUAAGUCAGUGGUGAAAUCUCCGAGCUUAACUUGGAACUGCCGUUGAUACUAUCUGCCUUGAAUAUUGUGGAGGUGAGCGGAAUAUGUCAUGUAGCGGUGAAAUGCUUAGAUAUGACAUAGAACACCAAUUGCGAAGGCAGCUCGCUACACAUAUAUUGACUCUGAGGCACGAAAGCGUGGGGAUCAAACAGG